CCUACGGGUCGCACCAGUGAGGAAUAUUGCACAAUGGGGGCAACCCUGAUGCAGCAACGCCGCGUGGAGGAUGAAGGCCCUCGGGUCGUAAACUCCUUUUUUGGGGGAAGAGCAAGGACGGUACCCCAAGAAUGAAUCACGGCUAACUACGUGCCAGCAGCCGCGGUAAUACGUAGGUGGCAAGCGUUAUCCGGAAUUACUGGGCGUAAAGCGCACGCAGGCGGUUGGUCAAGCCUGAUGUGAAAGCUCCUGGCUUAACCGGGAGAGGUCGUUGGAAACUGAUCGACUUGAGGUAAUGAGAGGGGUGUGGAAUUCCCGGUGUAGUGGUGGAAUGCGUAGAUAUCGGGAGGAACACCAGUGGCGAAAGCGGCACCCUGGCAUUGACCUGACGCUCAUGUGCGAAAGCGUGGGGAGCGAACGGGAUUAGAUACCCCUGUAGUC
RNAcentral lists this ribosomal RNA (441 nucleotides) under uncultured bacterium. RNAcentral's name for it is "bacterial SSU rRNA". It matches the Rfam family "Bacterial small subunit ribosomal RNA", at positions 338 to 795 of the family's 1533-position model. The record is from RNAcentral.